UAGGGAAUAUUGCCCAAUGGACGAAAGUCUGAGGCAGCAACGCCGCGUGUGUGAUGAAGGCCUUCGGGUCGUAAAGCACUUUUCUGGGAGAUGAGAAAGGACAGUAUCCCAGGAAUAAGUCUCGGCUAACUACGUGCCAGCAGCCGCGGUAAAACGUAGGAGGCAAGCGUUAUCCGGAUUCACUGGGCGUAAAGCGCGUGCAGGCGGUGCGGUAAGUUAGGCGUGAAAUCUCCCGGCUCAACUGGGAGAGGUCGUCUAAUACUACCGUACUAGAGAGCAGAAGAGGAAGAUGGAAUUCCCGGUGUAGUGGUGAAAUGCGUAGAUAUCGGGAGGAACACCAGUGGCGAAGGCGAUCUUCUGGUCUGUUUCUGACGCUCAGACGCGACAGCUAGGGUAGUAAACGGGAUUAGAGACCCCGGUAAUCCUAGCCGUAAACGAUGUGAACUUGGCGUUGGUGGGUUAAACUCCAUCAGUGCCGUAGCAAACGCGAUAAGUUCACCGCCUGGGGACUACGGCCGCAAGGUUAC
This 527-nucleotide ribosomal RNA is filed under the name uncultured Anaerolineaceae bacterium. Its description in RNAcentral is "bacterial SSU rRNA". It matches the Rfam family "Bacterial small subunit ribosomal RNA", at positions 355 to 897 of the family's 1533-position model. The record is from RNAcentral. Lineage: Bacteria; Bacillati; Chloroflexota; Anaerolineae; Anaerolineales; Anaerolineaceae.